This is an RNA transcript of Ailuropoda melanoleuca (giant panda), 2880 nucleotides long. It is a transcript of the gene named cytochrome P450 4F3, with no coding region annotated. NCBI's taxonomy places the organism in Eukaryota, Metazoa, Chordata, Mammalia, Carnivora, Ursidae. The record is from RefSeq and is a predicted model, not a curated record. The transcript is spliced from 19 exons.
AUUUGGGCCACUGCCAGGUGGGGAGGAAGUAAGCAGGCAGGCGGGGAUUGGCUGGCUUAGGCUGGCCUCUGCAGCCUUGUCCCCUGGGUCAGGGGCCAGAGGCAAAGACUUCCAAGAGGAGAAGAGAGGAGGUUGUGUGGCUAAGCUGUUCCUGACUGAAGGAUGUCACAGAUGAACCUGUCCUGGCUGGGACUGGGGCAGCUGGCAGCCUCCCCAUGGCUGCUCCUGCUGCUGGCUGGGGCCACCUGGCUGCUGGCCCACAUCCUGGCCUGGAGCUACAGCUUGUAUGACAUCUGCAGCCGUCUCCGGUGUUUCCCGCAGCCCCCGAAGCGGAACUGGCUUUGGGGUCACGUGGGCCUGAUUCAGAGCUCAGAGGAAGGUCUCCUGUACACACAGGACCUGGCAAGCACCUAUGGGGAUGUGUGCUGCUGGUGGGUGGGUCCCUGGCAUGCAGUCAUCCGCAUCUUCCACCCCACCUGCAUCAAGCCUGUGCUCUUUGCUCCAGCUGCCAUUGCACCCAAGGACAAGGUCUUUUACAGCUUUCUGAAGCCCUGGCUGGGGGAUGGGCUUCUGUUGAGUGCUGGUGACAAAUGGAGCAGCCACCGCCACAUGCUGACACCUGCCUUCCACUUCAACAUCCUGAAGCCCUAUGUGAAGAUUUUCAAUGGCAGCGUGAAUGUCAUGCAUGCCAAAUGGAAGCGCCUGGUGUCAGAGGGCAGGACCCAUCUGGACAUGUUUGAACACAUCAGCCUCAUGACCCUGGACAGUCUGCAGAAAUGUGUCUUCAGUUUUGACAGCAAUUGCCAGGAGAAGUCUAGUGAAUAUAUUGCUGCCAUCUUGGAUCUCAGUGCCCUUGUGGCAAAACGCCAUCAGCAGAUCCUCGUGCACACGGACUUCCUGUACUACCUCACCCCAGAUGGACAGCGCUUCCGCAGAGCCUGCCGCCUGGUGCAUAACUUCACAGAUGCUGUCAUCCAGGAGCGGCGCCGCACUCUCCCCAGUCAGGGUGUUGAUGACUUCCUCCAGGCCAAGGCUAAGAACAAGACUUUGGACUUCAUUGAUGUCCUCCUGCUGACCAAGGAUAAAGAUGGAAAACAAUUGUCAGACGAGGACAUCCGAGCUGAAGCUGACACCUUUAUGUUUGAGGGCCAUGACACCACAGCCAGUGGCCUCUCCUGGGUCCUGUACAACCUUGCAAAGCACCCAGAAUACCAGGAGCGCUGCCGGCAGGAGGUGCAGGAGCUCCUGAGGGACCGUGAGCCUCAAGAGAUUGAAUGGGACGACCUGGCCCAGUUGCCCUUCCUGACCAUGUGCAUCAAGGAGAGUCUGCGGUUGCAUCCCCCAGUCACAGUCAUCUCUCGCUGCUGUACCCAGGACACUGUGCUCCCGGAUGGCCGGGUCAUCCCCAAAGGUGUUAUCUGCCUCAUCAGUAUUUUUGGGACCCACCACAACCCAUCCGUGUGGCCAGACCCUGAGGUAUACAACCCCUUUCGCUUUGACCCAGAAAACAUGAAGGAGAGGUCACCCUUGGCUUUUAUUCCCUUCUCUGCAGGGCCCAGGCCAAAUGGAAGCACCUGGUGUCAGAGGGCAGGACCCAUCUGGACAUGUUUGAACACAUCAGUCUCAUGACCCUGGACAGUCUGCAGAAAUGUGUCUUCAGUUUUGACAGCAAUUGCCAGGAGAAGCCUAGUGAAUAUAUUGCUGCCAUCUUGGAUCUCAGUGCCCUUGUGGCAAAACGCCAUCAGCAGAUCCUCGUGCACACGGACUUCCUGUACUACCUCACCCCAGAUGGACAGCGCUUCCGCAGAGCCUGCCGCCUGGUGCAUAACUUCACAGAUGCUGUCAUCCAGGAGCGGCGCCGCACUCUCCCCGAUCAGGGUGUUGAUGACUUUCUCCAGGCCAAGGCUAAGAACAAGACUUUGGACUUCAUUGAUGUCCUCCUGCUGACCAAGGAUGAAGAUGGAGAACAAUUGUCAGAUGAGGACAUAUGAGCUGAAGCUGACACCCUUAUGUUUGAGGGCCAUGACACCACAGCCAGUGGCCUCUCCUAGACUCUGUAUAAUCUUGCAAAGCACCCAGAAUACCAGGAGCGCUGCCGGCAGGAGGUGCAAGAGCUCCUGAGGGACCGGGAGCCUCAAAAGAUUGAAUGGGACGACCUGGCCCAGUUGCCCUUCCUGACCAUGUGCAUCAAGGAGAGUCUGCGGUUGCAUCCACCAGCCACAGUCAUCUCUUGCUGCUGUACCCAGGACAUUGUGCUCCCGGAUGGCCGGGUCAUACCCAAAGGUAUACAACCCCUUUCGCUUUGACCCAGAAAACAUCAAGGAGAGGUCACCCUUGGCUUUUAUUCCCUUCUCUGCGGGGCCCAGAGCCCCCACUCCCGCCCGCAGGAACUGCAUUGGGCAGAAGUUCGCCAUGAUGGAGAUGAAGGUGGUCCUGGUGCUCACGCUGCUGCGCUUCCGGGUGCUGCCAGACGAGGAGGAGCCGCGCAGGAAGCCUGAGCUCAUCCUGCGCGCGGAGGGCGGGCUUUGGCUGCGCGUGGAGCCGCUGAGCGCAGACCCCCGGUGACCAGCCAGCUCCUGGCUUGGGAUUUACCCAGACCCUACACGCCUAGCUUUGCAGAAUCCCAGGAAUGAAACUGUGCCAUCUCUUCUGCCGGAGCCUCACUGAGUGCCAGGAGGGGGCGCUUGGGACCUGUGGGAACGCAGGGGUGGGCGAGGUGGAAUGGAGAGGAGGUUGGUGUCUGAGCCCAAGACCCUGACAGCCUUUCCAGGUGACCACAGGCCUCCCUGCUUAUUGUGGCUUGUUGGAGAGUCAAACCUGUGGUUACUCCAGAUUUCCAAUGAACAGAUAGAAAAUAUAACAAAGAAAAGCAUGCUGAAA